AGUAAACAGUGCUGCCCUAAUCUGUCUAAAGCCAUGAGGUCGAAGAGGGCGGUGUGUGUGGGGUGAGUCUGAAGCCACAGGCGGAGGAGGAGGAGGAGGAGGAGGAGGAGGAGGAGGAGAAGAAGAAGAAGAAGAAGAAGAAGAAGAAGAGAGAAGAGAAGAGAAGAGAAAGAAGAAAGAAGAAAGGGAAGAAAGAAGAAAGAGAAGAGGAAGAGGAGGAAGAGGAAGAGGAGGAAGAGGAAGAGGAAGGGGAAAAGGGGAAGAAGAAUCGCUAAGUAGCAGCUUUAUACUCAGGCUUCUUGUUUACAUAAUGGGGAGGAUCAAGUCCUAAGGCAGCAGUUGGGCCUGGCUCCUGGUCCCAGGGAGGAAGCCCUCAGCUGAUUGUACUCCCUCAAGAGUCUAUACAGCGAGAAGAAAUGAAAGAUGUAGCCCAACAUGCACUAUGUCUGCCUGGCUGAGGAGACAGGCUCCUGCCUCUUCUAAGAGACUGUUGAGAAGAUGUAUGGUGAACAUAUGGUUACAUUCUUAGAUCAGAUUGUGAGCUUCUUGUGGCCCAGGACUAUGUUUUACACUUGAUUCUUUGGAUCUCGAUGGGACUUAGAAUCGAGAUAAACAUAUGGGAGAACCUCAAUCAAGGAUUUUUGAGGAUUUUCACAAAUGACGAAAGCUGAUCAAACAUGUUAGAAAAACCCUGGAAAAGAAGACCUGGGACAGUUUCCUUCAGAGGCUCUCAUAUUGGAUUAAAAACAAAAAAACAGUGAAAGACAAAAAUCCAUUGUAUCCAAAAUUAAACAAAACAAAAAC
RNAcentral lists this long non-coding RNA (804 nucleotides) under Piliocolobus tephrosceles (Ugandan red Colobus). RNAcentral describes it as "lncRNA (ENSPTEG00000039479.1)". Lineage: Eukaryota; Metazoa; Chordata; Mammalia; Primates; Cercopithecidae. The record is from RNAcentral.